RNAcentral lists this ribosomal RNA (432 nucleotides) under uncultured bacterium. RNAcentral's name for it is "partial 16S ribosomal RNA". It matches the Rfam family "Bacterial small subunit ribosomal RNA", at positions 29 to 507 of the family's 1533-position model. The record is from RNAcentral.
AGCGAACGCUGGCGGCAGGCCUAACACAUGCAAGUCGAACGAACUCUUCGGAGUUAGUGGCGGACGGGUGAGUAACACGUGGGAACGUGCCUUUUGGUUCGGAAUAACUCAGGGAAACUUGUGCUAAUACCGAAUGUGCCCUUCGGGGGAAAGAUUUAUCGCCAUUAGAGCGGCCCGCGUCUGAUUAGCUAGUUGGUGAGGUAACGGCUCACCAAGGCGACGAUCAGUAGCUGGUCUGAGAGGAUGACCAGCCACACUGGGACUGAGACACGGCCCAGACUCCUGCGGGCGGACGCGGUGGGCCUCUUGCGCCCUGGGCGACAGCCUGGCGCAGCCAUGCCGCGUGAAUGAUGAAGGUCUUAGGAUUGUAAAAUUCUUUCUCAGGGGACGAUACUGCCGGUCCCCGGCGCCGAAGCCCCGGCUGCCUUCGUG